CUAAAGCUACCACUUACUGUUGAUUGUGACGAAAUGCCAGCUGAGGCACAUGCCUUGGGAGCUAAGUGGUUGCUGCCCUUGACUACUAUGAAGACUGGUGUGGGAAGGGUCGCUUUGGAUGCACUUGAGCAGGGGUCCCCAACCCCUGAGCCAUGGAGCCGUAAGGAGCCACACAGCAGGUGAGUGGUGUCGAGUGAGGGAGUGAGGGAAGCUUCGUCUGUAUUUACAGCCACUCCCCUUUGCUCACAUUCCCGCCUGAGCUCCACCUUCUCAGAUGAGCAGCAGCAUUAGAUUCUCAUAGGAGAACGCACCCUGUUGUGAACCGUGCAUGUGAGGGAUCUAGGUUGCGCUGUUCUUAUGAGAAUCUAAUACCUAUUGAUCUGUCACUUUCUCCCAUCACGCUCAGGUGGGACCAUCCAGUUUCAGGAAAACAAGCUUAACACGCCCACUGAUUCUACAUUAUGCUCCUACCUCCCGGCAGCCUCGCCAGGCCCAGAACUCUCUCCAGUCAGCCUCUACAGACCAAGCUCAUGACUCACAAUGGCCUAUUUAGGCCCAUACCCUACCUCACGGCAGUCUCCGCAGAUGAGCCUACUGCCUCACAACAGCCUCCACAGGCACAGCUCCAUCGUUCCAAUCGCCUCUUUAGACCCAGCUCCUGCCUCCCAGCCUUGUCUCCAGGCCCUGAACUUUCUCCGUAAGUUGAGGUAGCUGGGACUGUAGGUAUACAUGAUGAUACUUGGCUAAUUUUUAAAUUGUUUUGCAGACAUGGGGUCUCACUUUGUUGGCCAGGCUGGUGUCAAACUAAUGGCCUCAAGUGACCCUUCCACCCCUGCCUCCCAUCCUCGAGGUAUGUGCCACCACAAGGAGCACUUGUUCAAUUUUCUAAAGAAAAAAUUUCUAAAGUAAGGCUGUGGGAUGAUGGCAGGAAGAUAAAAGAAAAACAGAAGAAUAAGUUAAAAUGACUUAUUCACACAUAUUCUUUUGACAGCAAGAAGAACUGUUAGUAUAUACAUUCCUUACAAACAAACAAAUGGCAGAUAAACAAUGUUGUAUAGGAACUUCAACACACACUGUACAAUAUUCCCACUUUGCUGACAUAAGUUAUGGAAAUUUCGUGGUUUACUUGAGUGUCGCUACCAGUAUUUUGCUCCUCUGAUGAUUUUUACCAACUUCCACAUCUGUUAACUUCUCUCCAAAGUAUGUCAUGUCACGACAUACUGCCGCUGCACGAACACGGCCAGUGUCUUCCUAUUAAACAUGUAGAAUGCUUUCCUAA
Gorilla gorilla gorilla (western lowland gorilla) is the source of this 1279-nucleotide long non-coding RNA. RefSeq lists it as uncharacterized. The record is from RefSeq and is a predicted model, not a curated record. NCBI's taxonomy places the organism in Eukaryota, Metazoa, Chordata, Mammalia, Primates, Hominidae. The transcript is spliced from 2 exons.